UCGGGAAUUUUGGGCAAUGGGCGAAAGCCUGACCCAGCAACGCCGCGUGAAGGAUGAAGUCUCUCGGGAUGUAAACUUCGUAAGAAUAGGAAGAAUAAAUGACGGUACUAUUUGUAAGGUCCGGCUAACUACGUGCCAGCAGCCGCGGUAAUACGUAGGGACCAAGCGUUGUUCGGAUUUACUGGGCGUAAAGGGCGCGUAGGCGGCGUGGUAAGUCACUUGUGAAAUCUCCGAGCUUAACUCGGAACGGUCAAGUGAUACUGCUGUGCUAGAGUACAGAAGGGGCAAUCGGAAUUCUUGGUGUAGCGGUGAAAUGCGUAGAUAUCAAGAGGAACACCUGAGGUGAAGACGGGUUGCUGGGCUGAUACUGACGCUGAGGCGCGAAAGCUAGGGUAGCAAACGGGAUUAGAUACCCCUGUAGUCCCUGAGCGGGCUGGCAAGGCGCAU
This 447-nucleotide ribosomal RNA is filed under the name uncultured bacterium. RNAcentral describes it as "bacterial SSU rRNA". It matches the Rfam family "Bacterial small subunit ribosomal RNA", at positions 355 to 825 of the family's 1533-position model. The record is from RNAcentral.